This 486-nucleotide ribosomal RNA is filed under the name uncultured bacterium. RNAcentral's name for it is "partial 16S ribosomal RNA". It matches the Rfam family "Bacterial small subunit ribosomal RNA", at positions 30 to 507 of the family's 1533-position model. The record is from RNAcentral.
AUUGAACGCUGGCGGCAUGCCUUACACAUGCAAGUCGAACGGCAGCACGGGUGCUUGCACCUGGUGGCGGGUGGCGAACGGGUGAGUAAUACAUCGGAACAUGUCCUGUAGUGGGGGAUAGCCCGGCGAAAGCCGGAUUAAUACCGCAUACGAUCUACGGAUGAAAGCGGGGGACCUUCGGGCCUCGCGCUAUAGGGUUGGCCGAUGGCUGAUUAGCUAGUUGGUGGGGUAAAGGCCUACCAAGGCGACGAUCAGUAGCUGGUCUGAGAGGACGACCAGCCACACUGGGACUGAGACACGGCCCAGACUCCUACGGGAGGCAGCAGUGGGGAAUUUUGGACAAUGGGCGAAAGCCUGAUCCAGCAAUGCCGCGUGUGUGAAGAAGGCCUUCGGGUUGUAAAGCACUUUUGUCCGGAAAGAAAUCCUUGGCCCUAAUACGGUCGGGGGAUGACGGUACCGGAAGAAUAAGCACCGGCUAACUACGUG